Molecule: ribosomal RNA, 384 nt
Filed under: Triticum aestivum (bread wheat)
Lineage: Eukaryota; Viridiplantae; Streptophyta; Magnoliopsida; Poales; Poaceae
Description: partial small subunit ribosomal RNA
Source: RNAcentral
AUGAGAGGUAAUCUUGGAGCAAGACCGCCACAACAACAUGUUGUUCAACGUGCUUCAAGAAGGCCAAUUUAUGUUGAAGCUUCUGAAGGUGAAGAAUAUGAUGAUGCCCUUGAAGAGCCAAAUCUCUACGCAUAUCAGAGAGCACCCAACCCUACACAUGCAAGAGAUACAUACAAGGUGAAAGCUGAGAUCCCAAGUUUUAAUGGAAAUGUUGACAUUGAAGGGUGCCGGAUUGGUUAUAUGAAGUGGAGACUUUCUUUGAGGUCAUGGAGGUUUCGGACGAUCAUAGAGUUCCUUGGUCGCAUGCAAGCUGAAAGGAGGAGCCGGUGCAUGGUGGCAUCGCGUUCAAAAGGAGUGCAGGCUGAGAGGAGAACCUCGUGUUAG